AUUUCCCUGCCGUGCGCGUUAGGAGGUUGGUGAUUGUUGAACCAACAUAAAUAUAAGGGGAGCCGCAACUUCUUUUAAGGCCAAGGUUUUAAAAGAGCGGUUUCCACCUGAACUUCGGGUUCAGACCAUCAAAAUCCAACGGCACAGUGCGGGGAUUUU
This 159-nucleotide non-coding RNA is filed under the name Candidatus Omnitrophota bacterium. RNAcentral's name for it is "Candidatus Omnitrophica bacterium 6S RNA". It matches the Rfam family "6S / SsrS RNA". Rfam says of the family: E. coli 6S RNA was the first non coding RNA to be sequenced, but its function was unknown until recently. It consists of 184 nucleotides that fold into an extended hairpin structure with a large single-stranded internal bulge. The 6S RNA specifically associates with RNA polymerase holoenzyme containing the sigma70 specificity factor. Lineage: Bacteria; Pseudomonadati; Candidatus Omnitrophota. The record is from RNAcentral.